RNAcentral lists this ribosomal RNA (494 nucleotides) under uncultured bacterium. Its description in RNAcentral is "partial 16S ribosomal RNA". It matches the Rfam family "Bacterial small subunit ribosomal RNA", at positions 29 to 507 of the family's 1533-position model. The record is from RNAcentral.
ACGCACGCUGGCGGCGUGCCUCAUCCCUGCAAGUAGAACGCUGAAGGCGGAGCUUGCUCUUCUGGAUGAGUUGCGAACGGGUGAGUAACGCGUAGGUAACCUGCCUGGUAGCGGGGGAUAACUAUUGGAAACGAUAGCUAAUACCGCAUAACAGUAGAUGUUGCAUGACAUUUACUUAAAAGGUGCAAUUGCAUCACUACCAAAUGGACCUGCGUUGUAUUAGCUAGUUGGUGGGGUAACGGCUCACCAAGGCGACGAUACAUAGCCGACCUGAGAGGGUGAUCGGCCACACUGGGACUGAGACACGGCCCAGACUCCUACGGGAGGCAGCAGUAGGGAAUCUUCGGCAAUGGACGGAAGUCUGACCGAGCAACGCCGCGUGAGUGAAGAAGGUUUUCGGAUCGUAAAGCUCUGUUGUAAGAGAAGAACGAGUGUGAGAGUGGAAAGUUCACACUGUGACGGUAUCUUACCAGAAAGGGACGGCUAACUACGUG